RNAcentral lists this ribosomal RNA (102 nucleotides) under Candidatus Apopatosoma intestinale. Lineage: Bacteria; Bacillati; Bacillota; Clostridia; Eubacteriales. The record is from RNAcentral.
GCAUAGGGUCCACCCGUUCCCAUUCCGAACACGGAAGUUAAGCUAUGCGGUGCCGAAAAUACUCGACUGGAAGCGGUCCGGGAAGAUAGGGCGAGGCCAACU